UCGCUCCAACCCGUAGAUCCGAACUUGUGUGUUGCCCCCAUGUGAAGCACAAGUUCAUUUCUACGGGUCCGAGUUGG
RNAcentral lists this microRNA precursor (77 nucleotides) under Haemaphysalis longicornis (longhorned tick). RNAcentral's name for it is "mir-10 microRNA precursor family". It matches the Rfam family "mir-10 microRNA precursor family". Rfam says of the family: In this case the mature sequence comes from the 5' arm of the precursor. The extents of the hairpin precursors are not generally known and are estimated based on hairpin prediction. Lineage: Eukaryota; Metazoa; Arthropoda; Arachnida; Ixodida; Ixodidae. The record is from Rfam by way of RNAcentral.